GGGCCGUUAGCUCAAUUGGCAGAGCAACUGACUCUUAAUCAGUAGGUCCUCGGUUCGACCCCGAGACGGCCCACCA
Molecule: transfer RNA, 76 nt
Filed under: Nitrospinaceae bacterium
Lineage: Bacteria; Pseudomonadati; Nitrospinota; Nitrospinia; Nitrospinales; Nitrospinaceae
Also listed under: 3 other names
Description: tRNA-Lys
Rfam family: tRNA
About the family: Transfer RNA (tRNA) molecules are approximately 80 nucleotides in length. Their secondary structure includes four short double-helical elements and three loops (D, anti-codon, and T loops).
Source: RNAcentral